ACAUAAUCUCGAAAGUAGUGAUACAUAAGUGCGAUCAUGUCAUGUCUCGAAUAAGUGCAACUGCAUGGUCAUGGCACAGCCACAAGUUUCAUCAUCUCUAUCUACAACAUGAUGUAGAAGAGAAGAGCGAUCAGCAUGAGAAAGAGCGCGACUAUCUAGUACAAGCGGUCCCGCCCCUGCUCAUGCUGGAGUGUCCACCUCUAG
This 204-nucleotide long non-coding RNA is filed under the name Hordeum vulgare. Its description in RNAcentral is "long non-coding RNA (HVUL_LNC018685)". Lineage: Eukaryota; Viridiplantae; Streptophyta; Magnoliopsida; Poales; Poaceae. The record is from RNAcentral.